RNAcentral lists this transfer RNA (72 nucleotides) under Fidelibacterota bacterium. RNAcentral describes it as "tRNA-Thr". It matches the Rfam family "tRNA". Rfam says of the family: Transfer RNA (tRNA) molecules are approximately 80 nucleotides in length. Their secondary structure includes four short double-helical elements and three loops (D, anti-codon, and T loops). The record is from RNAcentral. Lineage: Bacteria; Pseudomonadati; Fidelibacterota.
GCCAUCAUAGCACAGUGGUAGUGCAGGGCUUUUGUAAAGCCAAGGUCGGUGGUUCAAAUCCUCCUGAUGGCA